GAAUUACAACUACAAGUGAAACAAAAUGCAGAAGAAUUACAAGACUUUAUGAGGGAUUUAGAAAACUGGGAAAAAGACAUUAAACAAAAGGAUAUGGAACUAAGAAGACAGAAUGGUGUUCCUGAAGAGAAUUUACCUCCUAUUCGAAAUGGGAAUUUUAGGAAAAAGAAAAAAGGCAAAGCUAAAGAGUCUUCCAAAAAAACCAAAGAGGAAAACACAAAAAACAGGAUAAAAUCUUACGAUUAUGAGGCGUGGGCAAAACUUGAUGUGUGUACACCUGUGAAACCACUGUUUGGAUCAAGAUACAGAACAUUCUGGGAGGCUGAGGCACGAGAAUGGCUUGAACCCGGGAGGCGGAGGUUGCAGUGAGCCAAGAUCACACCACUGCACUGCAACCUGGGCCACAGAGGGAGACUCUGU
This 420-nucleotide small RNA is filed under the name Pongo abelii (Sumatran orangutan). Its description in RNAcentral is "processed transcript". Lineage: Eukaryota; Metazoa; Chordata; Mammalia; Primates; Hominidae. The record is from RNAcentral.